UGCACCUCCAGGUUCUCAUACCAGCCCUGUUUGCAGCCUGGAUCCUUACCACUACCCUCUUUGUCAUUAUACAGACGAGAAAUGGAGGUUCCAAGAAGCUAAGCCACCUGCCCAAGGUCACCCAGCUAGAGAUGCAAGCUGGGACUUGAAGUGCAGGGUCUGCUGACCUCAAAUCUCAAGCACAUUGUUCUCCUGGCACUAUUUGUUUUUCUACCUUGGGCCAUUCUUAUCACUUUCCACUUUGUACCAGAGUUAACGUUUGCCGUGUGUACAGCACCAAAUUUAUAAAGAAAGAAGGAAGGAGGGAAGGAUGCAGGAAGGAAGAGAAGCAAGGAGAGGUGGGGAGGGGAGGAAGGGAGGAGGAAGAAAGAGGAGGGGAGCAGAGGAGGCCUCUGGUCACACUCUGGGGUGGGAACGAAGGGCAGACCUCUGCCUGUGUGAGGCCCCCACACUGAGCGGACCCUGAAUACGAAGUCUGGCCAAGAGGCAGUAUCGUCUGGUCAGAUCACCGUGGCCAGGCUGACACCACAGUUCCCAGAUGAAGGCACCUGCCCGGCCAGACAAGAGGGGGAAAUGAAGGAGCAGUCAGGAGCACAGUUAACCAGGAGCCUGGAGAAUGCUACCCAUGGUAGCUGAGGAGCCUGCUGGGACUACAGGGCAGGAAGGAUGUGGGGGCCCUGGUUGUGUCCUCUUUGUCAUGUGGGUGGAGUCAAAGGUGACUGCUGAGGGUGGGGGCUGGGAUGAGAGUAUCUGGGGAGAGUGACCACUCAGCCAUGACCCGGCAGUGGUUACACUAACCGUCCUGGGCAGAGCUAGACGCUGCAGAGAGCCUGUGUCAUUUCCUAUGUCGCUGUUUUCCAGUUGUGCCUCAGUUUGACGAGUGGUAAAACAGGAAGCUCAGCCCUUCCAGGACCAGGGUGGCAUUGGCACUCAAGCAGGAGGAGGUGGGGUGGAGAAGAAACCUGUCCUCCAACCCCCAACUGAAGCCUGGGUAGGGCCCCUAUGGCAUCAGAACUGCUCCUCGAAAAAUGAUGACUCAUGGCCCAAUGGGAAUCAGUUUUUCUCUCACCCCAGAGGGUCACUUGCCAUGGAAAACAGGGACCCAUGACAGUAGACUGAAUCAGAAAUGCAAGCCUGAAAACAGAGCCAGCCUGCACUGCUAGAGGUCAGAGGGCAGGCUAACUCCUGUCUCUCUGCAGAAAGACUUGAGUCUCAGUUCCUCCCCUUUCCGGCCCAGGGAGUUCAGGAGAGCCAGAAAACCUAAGUAAGCCUCAGUAUCCUCACCUGAAAAAUGGGGAUAAUCAUGCCCAGAGACUCAGUGUAGGGCUGGUCACUGGGCCCUUCUCUGGGCUGCUGCAGUAGCUGCGGCAGCCUGGCAUCCUGUGCCAACAAACUGGGCUGAGGAAGCUGGCACUCAGCCCCUCGCUUGGCUCACACUCCUUUUUCCAAGUCUGGCCCACCAAAAGCAGGACAGGUACCCCCCCGAGCCUCUGUGUUCCUUCCAUAGGGGAGAGUCUCACUCCAAAAGGCCAUAAGAGCUGGAUUUGCAUGGCCAAGGAACUGAGCUCUCUCUGCCACCUCCUAAUGGAACCACAAUCUCCAAAAGUUCUGGUAAGUGACCCACACUCUAAGAUGAAAACUUCCUGGCAGUUCCUGUCUGCAGCACACCAUCUGGCAGGCACAGGUUCAGUACACUGCACCUCCUGUAAGUCUCGGGUAGUUUCAUUUCAACUGGAUGAUGGAGUGGUUAAGAGCAUAGCUAUGUCUGGCGUUGAACAGCCAAGGGUUUGAAUUCAAAGGCUGUGUGACCUUGGAAAAGUCACCUAACCUCUCUGGGCCUCAGUGUUGCCAUCUGGAAAAUGAUGGCUACCUCAUGCCAUCAGAUUGAUAAAUAAAUCACUCAGCCUGUGGAUGCUUAGUACAUAAAGAGCUCUCAGAUACUAAACAGUACCUUCCAGAAAGGCAGAGGCCUCUGGGACCUGGCCUAGUGCUGGGUACACAGUCCAAACAGGCUUUCUUUUUUUAAAAUGAUUCCAAGAGAAUAGCAGGCAUCAUUCUCAAAGCUUGACACAGGCUCUUGAGCUGUCUUCUCCCCAUUCAGAAUUCCAAUCAGAGGCCUGGCAUGGAGGCCCUUUUGGAAGAUCUCUAUGCUCAUCACCACUACCAGAAGCUCUUGCCUCAGCAGGGUUUAUGUACGGGGGUGGGGUGGGGGGCCCCAGGUUGGGUGGGUAGGGGAGAGGAGGGAAAGUGGGAGACAGCAGUUGGGGAGGAGAACCCAGGACAGGAAGCCGGGGAGCAGAUCUGGCCCUGUCACCUGGGGUGUGCCCUUGCAGGACUUUGGGCACCAAGUCAUCAACAGAACUACAGAGGGCAGACUGGCAGGUAAGCAGCAGACAGCGAGAUUCAGUGAUGUCAUGUUUUCCCAAAAUGACUCAGUGGCUUGCCCCUGGGCUAUGAAUGGUGAGCUGUGUGCUGUGGCCUCAGAGCCUCCCGUCUCCUUGCCCUCCAGGCUUGCCCAGCACCUCUCCUUCUGUUACCUCCUGCCUCCCUGUCCCAGGGAACCAUGGCUACGGCAUUCAUGCUCUGCUUCUCACUGUGACCCCAGCCCAGGGCACAUCCCCAUGCUGCUUCUGUCAUGUCCAAUCUCUACAUUGGGGGAAGACCUAAGUUCCAGACAGACCUGGGUUUUAUUACUGCCUCUGAGUCCUCUUGGCUGAGUGACCUUAGGUGGGUUGCUCUGCCUCUCUGAGCCUCAGUUUCCUCAUCUGUAAAAGAGAUGCAUUGCUAACAAUCUUGCUGGGUUGUGUGGGGCUUAGUGAGAAUGUCUGUAAAGUACUUGGCACAUAGUAGGUGCUUAGCAAAUGGAAAGUACGACAUUCAAGGGCCUUUACGAUCUGACCUCAAUUUACUUACUUACUCUUCUUGAUGCUCACUGUGUACAAGGCGCUGCUUUAAACACUUGUAUAGAAACACAUUUUAUUCUAUCAACCCCAUGUGAUGGGUACUAUUAGUAUCUCCAUUUUACAGAUAAGAAAAGUGAGGCACAGAGAGGUUAAGCACCUUGGUCACGGUCGCACAGUCAGUAAGUGGGGAGCAGUGUUUCCAUGCAGGCAGCCUGAUUCUAGAGCCUGCAUAUGUAACCACAACUCCUUCCUGCCUCAUCUUUCUCUCUGUGGAUCCUAUAAAUUACAGUUCUUUCUAAUUGGACUCCUCACCAUCUCUGCAUUUGAUCCAAACUUUCCCAUCCCCGUGCUUUCGCCUAGGUUCCCUCUUGCACUGGAAUAUCCACCUGCCCAUGAAGCCUUUCCCAAGUCCUUCCUCAUGUCCACCUUUGUGGGCUCAUCACAGUUGGAUCCAAGGGCCUCUGGUCCAGGCCAGCUGUCUCCUCCCACUCACCAUGACUGCUACAACCUCUGCCCAGGCACAGAUCACUCCCAGCAGGCAGCCAUAGGGAGGGCCGCUGACCUAGGCUGCCAGAAGGUGACAUCCAAGCUGAGGCCUGAGGAUGAAUGGGAGCCGGACACAAGAAAAGAAGGAAGCAGAGUGUUCUCAGCAGCUGGAAAGGCUACAGAGAGCAGGACAUGUGCAGAUGGGACAUGAGGACGAUUUGAAACUUGGAACACCUAGUACAAGGUGAGGGCUGGUGAAAGAAGAGGCUGGGGAAUCCAAUUCACUGGAAGAUCACAGGGCCUGCAGAAGCCAUGACACGUCCCUCGAAGAGCUUGAUGCUUACGCCAAGAGUGGGGUUUCUGUCUUGCUGGAAUGGCCAUCGGGGAGAUAGAGUCCCCAAUCUGCCAGUUCCUUCUUGUUAAUUUAAAUCCUUUCUGCUGCCAUUUACGCCACUUCCCGAGACCGGGUCAUUGCCAAGGGGGAGCAGCAAUCAGCAGAUGGCCUUGCAAAAGAGGCUGCUGCACCAUCAGAAACGCCCUGCCCAGGUCAGCCUGGGGAAGGCGAGGCUCUAACGUCCACUCGCAAUACCUACAGGGGCUGUGGCUUCGCCUGAAGCUUGCCUCCCCAGAACUUCCUGGCCCGAACUAGUGGUAUGCCCUGGCCACAGUUAUGCAAUAAAAAACAAAAAUAAAAAAGUUCUUGUGUCCCAUUUGGCAUCUUGGGCUGCAGCCACAGCAGGAAAGAUACACACACAGGUAGUAUCAUGGCACGGUUAAGAUUACUGACUCUGGAGCGGGGCUGCAGGGCUCAGACUUAGCUUUGCACUUACUAGCUGUGGGAAGCUGGCAACUGUUUUGCCUGUCUGGUUCUGUGUGCCCAUCUGUAAAAUAGUAAUAACAGCAAUACCUACCUCAGGAGCUUCCUGUAAGAACUCAAUGAGCACAGGCAGGAAAGGUGCUAAGUAUGAUACUGUGCAUGCUGGUUGUAAUCACCGUUCUUUCCUGUACCCUACCCCCAGGCACCUGCACCAGAUGCAAGAGGAUAAGGAAAAGUAAAAGAAAAAUAGCAUCUUUCAGAAUAAAAAUAAGACAGCGUGUCUGACCUUUGUGGUCAGGGUGUUUCGGUUCUAGGUUCCCUGCGAGGAGCACUACCCCUUCCUGACUCUGACUCACAGAUUCUAGGUUCUAAUCUCAGGCCUCUUCAGGCAUGUCUAUGUUUAACCCUGUAGCAACAGGUCUUCUCCAGAGAAGGGCCAUGGGCCACCCCGAAGCCCCGCCUGCAUGGUCAGAGUUGUGAAAUUCUUUGCUGAAAAUCAGUGCUGUCUCAGCCAAUGGGUGGCCCAGUUUGUUUUCAAAAUAUUUCCUCAGAUAGCAUUGCUUUGGCUCAGACACUUUAGCACUUUCCAGAAUCCUGCAGAUGGUAAGGCAGCUGGAGAAGAAGAGAGAAGAGGGAAGGAAGAGAGUAAGAGAGGCCCAGGGCUAAAUCUCAGGUAGCUGAGUGGACUUGCAGGCACAGGCACGAGCACUGCAUGUGUGAACAGACAUGCACGCACAGGGCGAAUGGAAAGCAGAUCAACCUGUAGAAGGGGCUUUAAACCAUCUAAGCUAUGGAGGCUUCUUGUGAAACAGAGCUUUUGUCUGAAGGUUAGCUCUCACUAGGUACAGAUGCAUUAUCUAAAGUCACAGAUAUUAAUUCAUUUACAGCCCUAUUAUGUAUGACCUAUUACCACCCCCCUCUUAUCGAUUAGGAAACUAAAGCUCAGAAAGGUUAAGUAACUUACCCAAGGUCACAUCGCUACUAAGCAGUACUGUGGGCAUUCUGUGUUCUUAAUCAUUACAUAAUUUGCCUUUCAGAAUAAGUGUGUCCCCAUGUUUGUAUAUCCGUGUGUGCGCAAGAAUGUGUGCCUACAAAUGUUUCUGUGUAAUGUGGCUGUGGGGUAUAUUUGAGUGUGUGUAUAUUUCAGCCCAUGCAAUGUAUAUGAUGACCUGUGAGUAUGUGGGUGGCUGCCUCUCUCCCAAGCUAUGGGGUUCACCCACCAAGUUCCCUCUAAGCAGCCUGACAGCAGCAAGCCAAAGGGGCUCCCCACCAGGAGGCAGCACCCAGAGCAUUCUGGCAGUGCCCGCUCCCCAGAUCUGAGAAGUUUCAGUUUGCUGACCCAGCUUGGCACAGCCACAUACAAUGAGAAGGCCUCUCAGCCACUCCCUGGGUCAGGGAGGGAGACCCUCAGCUGCCAACCCUGCCGGGGGACUGCCCCCACCCCAGAGCCCUUGUUCUUCCCUUCUCACAGGGUGCUGGGUUUUAGAGUGGGCCAACUGAAUUAACUGAAGUUAUUAAGUUAUCAUGAAUUUGCUUCUAACCCAAUAGACAUAGUGUUCAAGCUUCUUGAAACCACUGAUGUGAACUCACACCACCAGUGCCCUAAGCUGAUGAGGCCUAAGCCGAUAUGACUCUGGUCAAAAGCAAAGAACCUUGACAUUCUAGU
Pteropus alecto (black flying fox) is the source of this 5872-nucleotide long non-coding RNA. RefSeq lists it as uncharacterized. The transcript is spliced from 3 exons. Lineage: Eukaryota; Metazoa; Chordata; Mammalia; Chiroptera; Pteropodidae. The record is from RefSeq and is a predicted model, not a curated record.